Molecule: long non-coding RNA, 290 nt
Filed under: Phoenix dactylifera (date palm)
Lineage: Eukaryota; Viridiplantae; Streptophyta; Magnoliopsida; Arecales; Arecaceae
Description: long non-coding RNA (PDAC_LNC010413)
Source: RNAcentral
UGGUUGAUCCUUUGAUGUUUUAUUAGAACUAAUUGCAUAAAAUUAAGAUAAGUACUCACUUUCGUAGGAAUCACGAUUGCACUUAGCACGUGCAACAAGCCGUUAAACCCCUAGGUUACCCUAGUGGACGAGUGUUGUCUCGUGAGGGUUUUCAGGGAUGUUAUCCACAAAUAUCAUGAAUUAUAUGACAUGAGAUUCUAAUAAAAAAAUAUGAAAUAAAUCUUAAGCUAAUACACAUGUAAUUAAUUGAUAUAUAUUUUCAAGCAUGGCAACUGUCAAAGCAAGGAAAU